AGAGUUUGAUUCUGGCUCAGGACGAACGCUGGCGGCGUGCCUAAUACAUGCAAGUCGAACGCUUCUUUUUCCACCGGAGCUUGCUCCACCGGAAAAAGAGGAGUGGCGAACGGGUGAGUAACACGUGGGUAACCUGCCCAUCAGAAGGGGAUAACACUUGGAAACAGGUGCUAAUACCGUAUAACAAUCGAAACCGCAUGGUUUUGAUUUGAAAGGCGCUUUCGGGUGUCGCUGAUGGAUGGACCCGCGGUGCAUUAGCUAGUUGGUGAGGUAACGGCUCACCAAGGCGACGAUGCAUAGCCGACCUGAGAGGGUGAUCGGCCACAUUGGGACUGAGACACGGCCCAAACUCCUACGGGAGGCAGCAGUAGGGAAUCUUCGGCAAUGGACGAAAGUCUGACCGAGCAACGCCGCGUGAGUGAAGAAGGUUUUCGGAUCGUAAAACUCUGUUGUUAGAGAAGAACAAGGAUGAGAGUAACUGUUCAUCCCUUGACGGUAUCUAACCAGAAAGCCACGGCUAACUACGUGCCAGCAGCCGCGGUAAUACGUAGGUGGCAAGCGUUGUCCGGAUUUAUUGGGCGUAAAGCGAGCGCAGGCGGUUUCUUAAGUCUGAUGUGAAAGCCCCCGGCUCAACCGGGGAGGGUCAUUGGAAACUGGGAGACUUGAGUGCAGAAGAGGAGAGUGGAAUUCCAUGUGUAGCGGUGAAAUGCGUAGAUAUAUGGAGGAACACCAGUGGCGAAGGCGGCUCUCUGGUCUGUAACUGACGCUGAGGCUCGAAAGCGUGGGGAGCAAACAGGAUUAGAUACCCUGGUAGUCCACGCCGUAAACGAUGAGUGCUAAGUGUUGGAGGGUUUCCGCACUUCAGUGCUGCAGCUAACGCAUUAAGCACCCCGCCUGGGGAGUACGACCGCAAGGUUGAAACUCAAAGGAAUUGACGGGGGCCCGCACAAGCGGUGGAGCAUGUGGUUUAAUUCGAAGCAACGCGAAGAACCUUACCAGGUCUUGACAUCCUUUGACCACUCUAGAGAUAGAGCUUCCCCUUCGGGGGCAAAGUGACAGGUGGUGCAUGGUUGUCGUCAGCUCGUGUCGUGAGAUGUUGGGUUAAGUCCCGCAACGAGCGCAACCCUUAUUGUUAGUUGCCAUCAUUUAGUUGGGCACUCUAGCAAGACUGCCGGUGACAAACCGGAGGAAGGUGGGGAUGACGUCAAAUCAUCAUGCCCCUUAUGACCUGGGCUACACACGUGCUACAAUGGGAAGUACAACGAGUCGCAAAGUCGCGAGGCUAAGCUAAUCUCUUAAAGCUUCUCUCAGUUCGGAUUGUAGGCUGCAACUCGCCUACAUGAAGCCGGAAUCGCUAGUAAUCGCGGAUCAGCACGCCGCGGUGAAUACGUUCCCGGGCCUUGCACUCACCGCCCGUCAA
This 1420-nucleotide ribosomal RNA is filed under the name uncultured bacterium. RNAcentral describes it as "bacterial SSU rRNA". It matches the Rfam family "Bacterial small subunit ribosomal RNA". The record is from RNAcentral.